This is a non-coding RNA of Rattus norvegicus (Norway rat), 2937 nucleotides long. Lineage: Eukaryota; Metazoa; Chordata; Mammalia; Rodentia; Muridae. The record is from RefSeq and is a predicted model, not a curated record.
CUGUGUUUUAGUGUGUGUGUGCCACACAUAUUAGGAGGCCAGAAGGGCCUUGGAUCCUGUUGCUAAAAUUCCUUCCCUCGGGGAGGCAUAAGCAACGUCUGUAUUCCUUCCUUCUCUUCAUGUCUGAACAACAAACAGGUGUGUUGAGUCCACCGAAGUUCACCCUGGAGAAGCAGUGAGUUCACUGGGCUUUCUUAACACAGCACGAAUGAGUGGUUACCUUCUAGGCCAUGAAUGGUCCUCACCUGAGAGACCACUCCAGAAAGUCUUCACCCAGCAGGGACAAGGGUCUUCCUACUGCCGAAUAGAUGGAGCCCCUUCUCCCCAGGCUGCACCUUGUUAGGACAGAGUUGCAUUCAACAGACAGAAAGGGUCUGCUGACUCUCCCCAGUCCUCUAACAGGGAUGCAAACAGCCAAGCAGCCCAGCUUGGAUUUGUGCAAGCCAGACCAGCUGAUUACCUCAAGAACAACGGGUUGUUUGGCUCAGAGGCCAGCCCUGUACAAUAGAUCCCCUGGAACCAAACACCGGUCCUCUGAAAGAGCAGCCGCGCUCGUCUUCCCUGAGCAUCUCUCUGUCGUGUGUGUGUGUGUGUGUGUGUGUGUGUGUGUGCAUGUACUCUUGCUCACGUGAGGAUGUACAGCAUGCCUGUUCUCAUGUAUGUAGAGAACAGAGGACAUCAGGUGUCUCUCGUAUGCUCUCUCUCGUUCCUUAAGACAGGGUCUCUCACUGAAGCUGUAGCUGCUGGGCGACAGGAUCAGUGAGCUCUGCCAAGCUUAUUUCUCUCCACUCCCUCAGCACCAGGGGGACUCGUGCAACAGUGCCCUCCUUGUUACAUGGGGGUUGAGGAUUUGAACUCAUGUCCUCAUGCUUGCACACUACGACUCUAGCCUCCUGAGCCUUCUCCUCAGCCCUCAGUGUGUGUGUUAAUCACCUUUUUGGGUUUGUUUGUUUUGUUUUACUCUAGAAAAACGGGGAUCAGUGGGUGACCAGGGUUAAGGUCUAUACUUAACAAGAAAGGCGUGACCCCUAAAAAUAUGGACUACUUUAUGAAUUUGCAUGGGGGCAUGCUAAUCUACUCUGUAUCCUUCCACACUUGAUCUUAGCCAAAAGGCCGAGAAGCGAUACUCUGUAUCCUUCCAAUUUAGAGUGCUGCCAAAUAGAGCCCUUUAACCCCAUUUUGUACCAUCCCAAGUGCUCCAUGGCCUUAUAUGACUAGUAUCUCCUUACUGGAUAGCAGAGGAUUGCAAUGAAAAAAGUGUUAUCUGAGGCUGAGGGAAACCAUGUUUGUAAACGUGUGCUCCCGGUGUGCUCAGGGUGCAGGAGAUUCAGUUCUUCAUGUGAGCCAGGAAGUAUAGAAGCUAAAGGGUCACUGCUGUUAGGACAAACUGUCUUCUCUGUUCCUUAUACUCCCCUCAAUGUGCACACAGAGCAUCUGCAGUACCGAGAAUGACUGUUGUAGGGGAAUUCCGAGGGAAGCAGCCUGCCUCACUCCCAUACCCCAACCCAGCCCCUUCCUAACAUGUUCGCAGGAAAUCUCUGGUUUUGACAUAAAUUCUGAGUCUCAGAAGGACUCUACUCUCUCCACAGUUCCUUCUCAUAACGUCCAUACACUAGGUGCCACACACCAAAUGUUUUUAUUUUUACAACAAUUGUAGCCAAAGCCACCAAUAUCUCGGAUUUUCUAGGACGUAAAUUUUUGAACAGUUUCAUUCUGAAAACCAGGACCAUCCUAUGGCUUCUAUAGGGAAAUACUGGAGAGUCACAGCCAGUUCCUACCAAUGGGUGCCGCCGGCUCCUGCAACUUGAACUUGGUUUUCUAUAAAUGGUACCAGGACAGUCUCCUCUGCUGUGUAGCAGCGGAUGGUAUUCAUGAAGCCUCCUUGGUGCACCUGAGAUCCAAGGAGCAAGAAGCGACUUAAAAGUUGCAUACAGCCUUUUAAGGAUAGUUUUGGCAGACCGGUACCGUACGGUACUAAGAAACUGUACUGGACUCUGGAGGAGUGUACCUCAGCCAUUGGGACCCCAGCCAGGUGCUGAUGCACACGCGAUAGGGGAGACAAUGGCCUUUACUGUGACUGUUCUGAUGCUCUUGUCACGUUCUCUAAUCUCCAACGGAAAGUAUUUACUUUCAAGGUCUAGGCCUGUCUGAAGUGAGAUGAGGCAGAGCUUUGGCAGAGGGCUGAGCUUCCACAGUGACUGCAGGGAAACCUCCCACUGUGUCCCCGGGGCCAGGCCCCUUCCCUCGGGAAGGGCAGCGGAAGGCAGCGGGGAGCUGGAGAGAGCGCUGGGGGCUGCGUCACCCACGCUUCCCCCGGCUGUCAGCGCCCCGGCCUCGCAGGUAGAGACGCCCCCUCCCGCGGUUCGCGGGGCCGGGGAGGAGGGGCUGGGCUCCGAGCGCCCGCCCCUCCAUCUAUCACAUGGCCGGAGAGUCACAAAAACAACAGCUUUGGCUAAGACCGUGACUUCAGGAAGGGAGCCCAGGGCCCUCGCCGGCAGCCCCCUCCCCAUGGAGGACAGUUUUUUGGAAUCGUUCGGGAGGCUGAGCCUCCAACAGCGGCAGCAGCAACCGCCUCCUCGGCCGCUGCCCGCGCGGGGGCCACCUCCGCGCCGCCACAGCUUUAGAAAACACCUCUACCUCCUGCGCGGCCUCCCGGGCUCGGGAAAAACCACGCUGGCCAGGUAUUGUUAGAACUCAGAGGGUAGCUCACACACAUCUCCUUUAUCCACAUUUCAUACCUCAGCAAGAACUAGUUGCUCAGAUGGGUCCUUACAGAGAUCAGAGCUCCGAGGAAUGGGACCCAGGACAGACAGCUGCAGCGCGACUACCCCAGAGCCCUGAUUUUCAGCACGGAUGACUUUUUCUUCAGGGAAGAUGGCACCUAUGAGUUCAACCCCAUCUUCUUGGAGGAAGCUCAUGAAUGGAACCAGAAAAGAG